AGCCUCAUUCUAGAUGCAAAUGGGCACUGUUGUUCACAGUGUCCAGAUAUCAUUGAUGUAGCCACACUGAGACAUAGGUUUCGCUGUCAUCACGGUAAUUUUAUUGCAGCAGUGACAAGACUUGUGACCUGU
Small nucleolar RNA from Cervus hanglu yarkandensis (Yarkand deer), 132 nucleotides. The record is from Ensembl. NCBI's taxonomy places the organism in Eukaryota, Metazoa, Chordata, Mammalia, Artiodactyla, Cervidae.